AGAGUUUGAUCAUGGCUCAGAUUGAACGCUGGCGGCAGGCCUAACACAUGCAAGUCGAGCGGUAACAUUUCUAGCUUGCUAGAAGAUGACGAGCGGCGGACGGGUGAGUAAUGCUUGGGAACAUGCCUUGAGGUGGGGGACAACCAUUGGAAACGAUGGCUAAUACCGCAUAAUGUCUACGGACCAAAGGGGGCUUCGGCUCUCGCCUUUAGAUUGGCCCAAGUGGGAUUAGCUAGUUGGUGAGGUAAAGGCUCACCAAGGCGACGAUCCCUAGCUGGUUUGAGAGGAUGAUCAGCCACACUGGAACUGAGACACGGUCCAGACUCCUACGGGAGGCAGCAGUGGGGAAUAUUGCACAAUGGGCGCAAGCCUGAUGCAGCCAUGCCGCGUGUGUGAAGAAGGCCUUCGGGUUGUAAAGCACUUUCAGUCAGGAGGAAAGGUUAGUAGUUAAUACCUGCUAGCUGUGACGUUACUGACAGAAGAAGCACCGGCUAACUCCGUGCCAGCAGCCGCGGUAAUACGGAGGGUGCGAGCGUUAAUCGGAAUUACUGGGCGUAAAGCGUACGCAGGCGGUUUGUUAAGCGAGAUGUGAAAGCCCCGGGCUUAACCUGGGAACUGCAUUUCGAACUGGCAAACUAGAGUGUGAUAGAGGGUGGUAGAAUUUCAGGUGUAGCGGUGAAAUGCGUAGAGAUCUGAAGGAAUACCGAUGGCGAANGCAGCCACCUGGGUCAGCACUGACGCUCAUGUACGAAAGCGUGGGGAGCAAACAGGANUAGAUACCCUG
This 784-nucleotide ribosomal RNA is filed under the name uncultured marine microorganism. RNAcentral's name for it is "bacterial SSU rRNA". It matches the Rfam family "Bacterial small subunit ribosomal RNA", at positions 8 to 789 of the family's 1533-position model. The record is from RNAcentral.